RNAcentral lists this ribosomal RNA (206 nucleotides) under uncultured bacterium. RNAcentral's name for it is "partial 16S ribosomal RNA". It matches the Rfam family "Bacterial small subunit ribosomal RNA", at positions 15 to 219 of the family's 1533-position model. The record is from RNAcentral.
GAUCAUGGCUCAGAUUGAACGCUGGCGGCAGGCCUAACACAUGCAAGUCGAACGGUAACAGGAAGCAGCUUGCUGCUUUGCUGACGAGUGGCGGACGGGUGAGUAAUGUCUGGGAAACUGCCUGAUGGAGGGGGAUAACUACUGGAAACGGUAGCUAAUACCGCAUAACGUCGCAAGACCAAAGAGGGGACGUCGUCGGUCUCGUC